GGGAGGUUGGCGGUGGACGCACCACUCGCCAACCGGGUCAGGUCCGGAAGGAAGCAGCCCUAACGAGAGCAUCGCGGGUUGCUCGUCCAGCCUCCCACC
RNAcentral lists this signal recognition particle RNA (99 nucleotides) under Hyphomicrobiales bacterium. RNAcentral describes it as "signal recognition particle sRNA small type". It matches the Rfam family "Bacterial small signal recognition particle RNA". Rfam says of the family: The signal recognition particle (SRP) is a universally conserved ribonucleoprotein involved in the co-translational targeting of proteins to membranes. Archaeal SRP consists of a 7S RNA and homologues of the eukaryotic SRP19 and SRP54 proteins. Lineage: Bacteria; Pseudomonadati; Pseudomonadota; Alphaproteobacteria; Hyphomicrobiales. The record is from RNAcentral.